AGUGAACGCUGGCGGUAGGCCUAACACAUGCAAGUCGAACGGCAGCACAGGAGAGCUUGCUCUCUGGGUGGCGAGUGGCGGACGGGUGAGGAAUACAUCGGAAUCUACUCUGUCGUGGGGGAUAACGUAGGGAAACUUACGCUAAUACCGCAUACGACCUACGGGUGAAAGCAGGGGACCUUCGGGCCUUGCGCGAUUGAAUGAGCCGAUGUCGGAUUAGCUAGUUGGCGGGGUAAAGGCCCACCAAGGCGACGAUCCGUAGCUGGUCUGAGAGGAUGAGCAGCCACACUGGAACUGAGGCACGGUCCAGACUCCUACGGGAGGCAGCAGUGGGGAAUAUUGGACAAUGGGCGCAAGCCUGAUCCAGCCAUACCGCGUGGGUGAAGAAGGCCUCCGGGUUGUAAAGCCCUUUUGUUGGGAAAGAAAUCCAGCUGGCUAAUACCCGGUUGGGAUGACGGUACCCAAAGAAUAAGCACCGGCUAACUUCGUGCCAGCCGCCGCCGUAA
RNAcentral lists this ribosomal RNA (506 nucleotides) under uncultured bacterium. Its description in RNAcentral is "partial 16S ribosomal RNA". It matches the Rfam family "Bacterial small subunit ribosomal RNA", at positions 29 to 523 of the family's 1533-position model. The record is from RNAcentral.